RNAcentral lists this ribosomal RNA (325 nucleotides) under uncultured eukaryote. RNAcentral describes it as "partial 18S ribosomal RNA". It matches the Rfam family "Eukaryotic small subunit ribosomal RNA", at positions 1470 to 1796 of the family's 1831-position model. The record is from RNAcentral.
CCCUUAGAUGUCCUGGGCCGCACGCGCGUUACACUGAUGCAUUCAACGAGCCUAUAACCUUGGCCGAGAGGCCUGGGCAAUCUUGUUAACGUGCAUCGUGAUAGGGAUAGAUUAUUGAAAUUAUUAAUCUUGAACGAGGAAUUCCUAGUAAACGCAGAUCAUCAAUCUGCAUUGAUUACGUCCCUGCCCUUUGUACACACCGCCCGUCGCUCCUACCGAUUGAAUGCUCAGGUGAGCCAUUCGGACUUUCAUCAUGCUGGUUUCCAGUUUUGAUGAAGGAAAGUCUUGCGAACCUUAUCAUUUAGAGGAAGGAGAAGUCGUAACA